RNAcentral lists this transfer RNA (72 nucleotides) under Ovis aries (sheep). It matches the Rfam family "tRNA". Rfam says of the family: Transfer RNA (tRNA) molecules are approximately 80 nucleotides in length. The record is from Rfam by way of RNAcentral. Lineage: Eukaryota; Metazoa; Chordata; Mammalia; Artiodactyla; Bovidae.
UCCCUGGUGGCUCAGACGAUAAAGCGUCUGUCUACAACGUAGAAGAUCCGGGUUCGAUCCCUGGGUCGGGAA